Molecule: long non-coding RNA, 1096 nt
Filed under: Monodelphis domestica (gray short-tailed opossum)
Lineage: Eukaryota; Metazoa; Chordata; Mammalia; Didelphimorphia; Didelphidae
Description: lncRNA (ENSMODG00000047662.1)
Source: RNAcentral
AUGACCCCGAGAUGUUUGCUUCUGCUCUCUGUUGUUUGUUUUCUGCUGCAGGUGUUGGAGGUGAUCCAGGAGGACCUGAGAGUUCCAGCCAAGAUGACUGUGGAUCCAGGGCUGCAAGGAGGAUGGUGCAGCCCAUCAGCCUGGCAUAGGACUCGAGCCCCUGAGAGACUUGAAGAGAGAGAGGUUUUUCAGGACAAGCCAAGAUGCAAGAAACAAGGCUAGAGACCUGACCUGCCUAUCAAUCAAGAAGAAGGUUCCAAAUGGAAUGUUCCCAGGGGAGGCAGGCCACAGGAGGAGAAGAAGCAGGAUCUAAAACUUCUGACUCUGUCUCUGGCCCUGGCAGUUGAGCCUGAGUAAAGGGGAAGAAGCUAAGAACUACCUCUCUAUGUAUAACAUAUUAUGUAUAAUAUAAUAAUGAUAAGAUAAAAACUAUGAUAAUGAUAAAAAUUUUAAUAGUUACAAAUAUCAUAUUUUUAUGUAGAAACAAUUUGACCUUGUUGAGUUCCUUAAUUUUUUUCUUUCUUAUUUACCUUUUUAUGCUUCUCUUUAAUUUUGUGUUUGGACAUCAGAUUUUCUGUUUGUGUCUGGUUUUCCUUCAGGAAUGCUUGGAUUUUCCCCUGAAAGAAUAUAAUUUUGAUGGGUAGGUGAUUCUUGGUUGUAAACCCAAUUCCCUUACCUUCUAGAAUAUCAUAUUCCAAGUCUUCUGAUCCUUGAAUAUAGAAGCUGCCAGAUACUGUGAAAUCCUGACAGGGGUCCUAUGAUAUUGGAAUUGUUUCUUUCUGGCUGGUUGUAGUAUUUUCACUUUGACCUGGAGCAAUUAAACUUGGCUAUAAAUAUUCCUGGGAGUUGUUAUUUGGAGAUUUAUUGUAGGAGUUGAUCUGUGGAUUUAUUCAAUUUCUAUUUUUUAUUUUACCCACUUGUUCAAGAAUAUCAGGACAAGGAGCAGCUGGGUAGCUCAGUGGAUUAACUCUCAGUAGAGAGUUAGGCCUAGAGAUGGGAGGUCCUAGGUUCAAAUCUGACCUCAGACACUUCCCAGAUGUGUGACCCUGGGCAAGUCACUUAACCCCCAUUGCUAGCUUUUAUCACUCUUCUGCUG